CAGCCGCCGCGGUAAGACAGAGGAUGCAAGCGUUAUCCGGAAUGAUUGGGCGUAAAGCGUGCGCAGGCGGUUGUGUAAGACAGGUGUGAAAUCCCCGGGCUUAACCUGGGAACUGCGCUUGUGACUGCACAGCUAGAGUAUGGCAGAGGGGAGUGGAAUUCCACGUGUAGCAGUGAAAUGCGUAGAGAUGUGGAGGAACACCGAUGGCGAAGGCAGCCCCCUGGGCCAAUACUGACGCUCAUGCACGAAAGCGUGGGGAGCAAACAGGAUUAGAUACCCCCGUAGUCCCUGUCUCUUAUAC
RNAcentral lists this ribosomal RNA (301 nucleotides) under uncultured bacterium. Its description in RNAcentral is "partial 16S ribosomal RNA". It matches the Rfam family "Bacterial small subunit ribosomal RNA", at positions 509 to 807 of the family's 1533-position model. The record is from RNAcentral.